GCAGUCGGGGCCGAAUGGUUAAGGCGAUUGACUAGAAAUCCAUUGGGGUCUCCCCGCACAGGUUCGAAUCCUGUCGACUGCG
This 82-nucleotide transfer RNA is filed under the name Ixodes scapularis (black-legged tick). It matches the Rfam family "tRNA". Rfam says of the family: Transfer RNA (tRNA) molecules are approximately 80 nucleotides in length. Their secondary structure includes four short double-helical elements and three loops (D, anti-codon, and T loops). Further hydrogen bonds mediate the characteristic L-shaped molecular structure. tRNAs have two regions of fundamental functional importance: the anti-codon, which is responsible for specific mRNA codon recognition, and the 3' end, to which the tRNAs corresponding amino acid is attached (by aminoacyl-tRNA synthetases). tRNAs cope with the degeneracy of the genetic code in two manners: having more than one tRNA (with a specific anti-codon) for a particular amino acid; and 'wobble' base-pairing, i.e. permitting non-standard base-pairing at the 3rd anti-codon position. Lineage: Eukaryota; Metazoa; Arthropoda; Arachnida; Ixodida; Ixodidae. The record is from Rfam by way of RNAcentral.